This 844-nucleotide ribosomal RNA is filed under the name Medicopsis romeroi. RNAcentral's name for it is "partial large subunit ribosomal RNA". It matches the Rfam family "Eukaryotic large subunit ribosomal RNA", at positions 68 to 930 of the family's 3401-position model. Lineage: Eukaryota; Fungi; Ascomycota; Dothideomycetes; Pleosporales; Neohendersoniaceae. The record is from RNAcentral.
CCCGGGUUUUUCCUUUUAACGGCAAUGAAAGCGGACACCAGUCAAUUUUGAAAUUUUGCCUUUUUGGAGUCCGAGUUGUAAUUUUUGAAGGCCGUUUUGGCGUCGGCAGCGGUCUAAUUUCCUUGAAACAGGACGUCACAGAGGGUGAGAAUCCCGUAUGUGGUCGCGUGCCUUUGCCGUGUAAAGCCCCUUUGACGAGUCGAGUUGUUUGGGAAUGCAGCUCUAAAUGGGAGGUAAAUUUCUUCUAAAGUUAAAUACUGGCCAGAGACCGAUAGCGCACAAGUAGAGUGAUCGAAAGAUGAAAAGCACUUUGGAAAGAGAGUCAAAAAGCACGUGAAAUUGUUGAAAGGGAAGCGCUUGCAGCCAGACUUGCCUGCGGUUGCUCAUCCGGGCUCUCGCCCGGUGCACUCUUCCGUAGGCAGGCCAGCAUCAGUUUGGGCGGCUGGAUAAAGGCCUCUGUCAUGUACCUUCCCUCGGGAAGGCCUUAUAGGGGAGGCGUAAUGCAGCCAGCCUGGACUGAGGUCCGCGCAUUUGCUAGGAUGCUGGCGUAAUGGCUGUAAGCGGCCCGUCUUGAAACACGGACCAAGGAGUCUAACAUCUAUGCGAGUGUUUGGGUGUCAAGCCCGGGCGCGCAAUGAAAGUGAACGGAGGUGGGAACCCUUUGGGGUGCACCAUCGACCGAUCCUGAUGUCUUCGGAUGGAUUUGAGUAAGAGCAUAGCUGUUGGGACCCGAAAGAUGGUGAACUAUGCUUGAAUAGGGUGAAGCCAGAGGAAACUCUGGUGGAGGCUCGCAGCGGUUCUGACGUGCAAAUCGAUCGUCAAAUUUGGGCAUAGGGGCGAAAGA